AGUGAACGCUGGCGGCAUGCCUUACACAUGCAAGUCGAACGGUAACAGGUCUUCGGAUGCUGACGAGUGGCGAACGGGUGAGUAAUACAUCGGAACGUGCCUGAUCGUGGGGGAUAACGAAGCGAAAGCUUUGCUAAUACCGCAUAAGAUCUACGGAUGAAAGCAGGGGACCGCAAGGCCUUGCGCGAACGGAGCGGCCGAUGGCAGAUUAGGUAGUUGGUGGGAUAAAAGCUUACCAAGCCGACGAUCUGUAGCUGGUCUGAGAGGACGACCAGCCACACUGGGACUGAGACACGGCCCAGACUCCUACGGGAGGCAGCAGUGGGGAAUUUUGGACAAUGGGCGAAAGCCUGAUCCAUCCAUGCCGCGUGCAGGAUGAAGGCCUUCGGGUUGUAAACUGCUUUUGUACGGAACGAAAAGACUCUGGUUAAUACCUGGGGUCCAUGACGGUACCGUAAGAAUAAGCACCGGCUAACUACGUGCCAGCCGCCGCCGUAA
Molecule: ribosomal RNA, 498 nt
Filed under: uncultured bacterium
Lineage: Bacteria
Description: partial 16S ribosomal RNA
Rfam family: Bacterial small subunit ribosomal RNA
Source: RNAcentral